This 400-nucleotide ribosomal RNA is filed under the name phytoplankton environmental sample. RNAcentral describes it as "partial small subunit ribosomal RNA". It matches the Rfam family "Eukaryotic small subunit ribosomal RNA", at positions 587 to 990 of the family's 1831-position model. The record is from RNAcentral.
AGCUCCAAUAGCGUAUAUUAAAGUUGUUGCAGUUAAAAAGCUCGUAGUUGGAUUUGUGGUGUGUCCAGUCGGCCUUCGCUUUUAGUGACAGCGCUGCACUGGUCUGCCAUGUUUGGGUGGAAUCUGUGUGGCAUUAGGUUGUCGUGCAGGGGAUGCCCAUCGUUUACUGUGAAAAAAUUAGAGUGUUCAAAGCAGGCUUAUGCCGUUGAAUAUAUUAGCAUGGAAUAAUAAUAUAGGACCUUGGUACUAUUUUGUUGGUUUGCGCACUAAGGUAAUGAUUAAGAGGGACAGUUGGGGGUAUUUGUAUUCCAUUGUCAGAGGUGAAAUUCUUGGAUUUUUGGAAGACAAACUACUGCGAAAGCAUUUACCAAGGAUGUUUUCAUUAAUCAAGAACGAAAGU